Molecule: ribosomal RNA, 463 nt
Filed under: uncultured bacterium
Lineage: Bacteria
Description: bacterial SSU rRNA
Rfam family: Bacterial small subunit ribosomal RNA
Source: RNAcentral
AGGUGCUGCACGGCUGUCGUCAGCUCGUGUCGUGAGAUGUUGGGUUAAGUCCCGCAACGAGCGCAACCCUCGUCCUUAGUUGCCAGCAGGUUAAGCUGGGCACUUUAAGGAGACUGCCUUCGCAAGGAGGAGGAAGGUGAGGACGACGUCAAGUCAUCAUGGCCCUUAUGGCUAGGGCUACACACGUGCUACAAUGGGGCGUACAGAGAGUUGCGAUACCGCGAGGUGGAGCCAAUCUCAUAAAGCGUCUCUCAGUUCGGAUUGAAGUCUGCAACUCGACUUCAUGAAGCUGGAAUCACUAGUAAUCGUAGAUCAGCAAUGCUACGGUGAAUACGUUCCCGGGUCUUGUACUCACCGCCCGUCACACCAUGGGAGUUGAUUUCACCCGAAAUUGGGAAGCUAACCUUCGGGAGGCUACCACUUACGGUGGAAUUAGCGACUGGGGUGAAGUUGUAGCAACAUA